UGGAAGCGUGGCCGAGCGGUUGAAGGCACCGGUCUUGAAAACCGGCGACCCGAAAGGGUUCUAGAGUUCGAAUCUCUACGCAAAUUCUAA
Molecule: transfer RNA, 90 nt
Filed under: Klebsiella grimontii
Lineage: Bacteria; Pseudomonadati; Pseudomonadota; Gammaproteobacteria; Enterobacterales; Enterobacteriaceae
Description: tRNA-Ser
Rfam family: tRNA (bases 6-81)
About the family: Transfer RNA (tRNA) molecules are approximately 80 nucleotides in length. Their secondary structure includes four short double-helical elements and three loops (D, anti-codon, and T loops). Further hydrogen bonds mediate the characteristic L-shaped molecular structure. tRNAs have two regions of fundamental functional importance: the anti-codon, which is responsible for specific mRNA codon recognition, and the 3' end, to which the tRNAs corresponding amino acid is attached (by aminoacyl-tRNA synthetases). tRNAs cope with the degeneracy of the genetic code in two manners: having more than one tRNA (with a specific anti-codon) for a particular amino acid; and 'wobble' base-pairing, i.e. permitting non-standard base-pairing at the 3rd anti-codon position.
Source: RNAcentral